This 31-nucleotide small nuclear RNA is filed under the name Cervus elaphus hippelaphus. The record is from RNAcentral. Lineage: Eukaryota; Metazoa; Chordata; Mammalia; Artiodactyla; Cervidae.
GUGCUCACUUCGGCAGCACAUAUAGUAAAAU